Bubalus bubalis (water buffalo) is the source of this 2345-nucleotide RNA transcript. It is a transcript of the gene named methyl-CpG binding domain protein 2, with no coding region annotated. Lineage: Eukaryota; Metazoa; Chordata; Mammalia; Artiodactyla; Bovidae. The record is from RefSeq and is a predicted model, not a curated record. The transcript has 4 exons.
CCCCGGCGGGAGGGCCGCUCUGUGCGCGCCCGCUCUAUGAUGCUUGCGCGCGUCCCCCGCGCGCCGCGCCGCGGGCGGGGCGGGUCUCCGGGAUUCCAAGGGCUCGGUUACGGAAGAAGCGCAGCGCCGGCUGGGGAGGGGGCUGGAUGCGCGCGCACCCGGGGGGAGGCCGCUGCUGCCCGGAGCAGGAGGAGGGGGAGAGCGCGGCGGGCGGCAGCGGCGCUGGCGGCGGCUCCGCCAUCGAGCAGGGGGGCCCGGGCUGCGCGCUCGCCCCGUCCCCGGUGAGCGGCGCGCGCAGGGAGGGCGCGCGGGGCGGCGGCCGUGGCCGGGGGCGGUGGAAGCCGGCGGGCCGGGGCGGCGGCGGCGGCGGCGUCUGUGGCCGUGGCCGGGGCCGGGGCCGUGGCCGGGGACGGGGCCGGGGCCGGGGCCGGGGCCGCGGCCGUCCCCCGAGCGGCGGCGGCGGCCUUGGCGGCGACGGCGGCGGCGGCGGAGGCGGCGGAGGAGGCGGCGGCGGCGCCCCCCGGCGGGAGCCGGUCCCUUUCCCGUCGGGGAGCGCGGGGCCAGGGCCCCGGGGACCCCGGGCCGCGGAGAGCGGGAAGAGGAUGGACUGCCCGGCCCUCCCCCCCGGAUGGAAGAAGGAGGAAGUGAUCCGAAAAUCUGGGCUCAGCGCCGGCAAGAGCGAUGUCUACUACUUCAGUCCGAGUGGUAAGAAGUUCAGAAGCAAACCUCAGUUGGCAAGGUAUCUGGGAAAUACUGUUGACCUCAGCAGUUUUGACUUCAGAACUGGAAAGAUGAUGCCUAGUAAAUUACAGAAGAACAAACAGAGACUGCGGAAUGAUCCUCUCAAUCAGAAUAAGCUGCGCUGGACUUCUCGUCAUCCUGCACCGUGGCAUGUGCUUUCAAGACUCUGCUUGCUCAUGUGCUGUUUCCUCUGCUUGGAAUGUGCUUCCCCCCUUCCCCUCCAUCUGGUGACCUGCUCCUCAUCCAAGGCCCAGCUCCAUUGUCUCCAUCUCUGUGAAGCCUGCCCUGCACCCUCCGCCCGGAGCCAGGCCUCCUCCCGUAGGCCUCCCUGGUGCUUGGCCACGAGGUCUGUGGCUGUCGGUCUGCUGCAGCUAGACUGAGCUCCACGAGGGCAAGGCCCAUGUCUCUCGUUUUGCUUUGUUUUGGUAUAUGUAUAUAAUCCAAAGCCUGGCACACGGUUCAUGGCAGAUUGGUAGUUAUUUAGAAAAACUCAGACAACUGGGUGUGAAUUAACAGUGACUCUUUUGACAGUCCUCAGGAGAGAAUGGUAAUAAAAUUUACUUUUUUUGUGACAGUUUCUGGGUAAACCAGUUAGUUCAGCUUCUCAGGUUAUUUUACAUGAUACUAUUGUAGAAUAUCUGGGUCAGGAAGAGCCCCUGGAGAAGGAAAUGGCAACCCACUCCAGUACUCUUGCCUGGGAAAUCCCAUGGACAGAGGAGCCUGGUAGCCUACAGUCCAUGGGGUUGCAAAGAGUUGGACACGACUGAGCGACUACUUUACUAUUGUAGAAUACAGAAUUAAUUAGUAAAAAAUUCUUUCUUCAGGGCUUUCAGGCCAGUUUAAAAGAGGAAAAAUGAUAAAAUAUAAAUAAGAUCAACAGAAGAGCAAUGCUGCAUACUCUUGAAAAAUCUCGCUCUGCUUCCCUGGGCAGUAAGCUGUCAUUGUUAGACAGUGACAUUUUUUAACCAAUAGGUUAAUUUUUUAUUGUAUCACAAACAUAAUGAAAAAAAAAAAUUAGUCUUAGCAUUGUAGCACCAGUAGUUUUACAUGUUUCAUGCUUCCUUCCAGUCUGUGUGGAUUCAGGAUUUUAUAGUUUUUUCCUUUUAUAGUUUUGAAUAGUUUAAACUAGUCUCUGCUUCCUCCAGUCAUUCUUUGUAACAGAACCUUACAGGCUCGACUGUGUUUGUUCAUACAAAUAGUUGCUCUGUAUUUCUUUGUCUACUGAUCCCAUCUUUGUUCUAAUACCAGCAGAGUAUAUUAUUCUUUGUUAAAGUACAGAAACGUUAAAAACCAAGCAAGGUAUUGUUUUGUGGUAGAUACUGCUUAUAACAAAUUAGUGGCAGGAAGAGUUCUUUGUAAGCCAUUAUGUGUUAAGCGUCUUUUGGACUGAAUACUGACUGAUACAGGUUGGUUGGCUUCACUCAGGGUCUUAGAAUGCUCUUGAUGUCAUAAAUCAGAGGGAUCCAAACCUUCUGCACAUCACAGAAUUACCAAGAGAGUUUUAAAACUACACAUUCCUGGGCCUCACGCUCUUUAGAGAUGGAAUCCUAAGUGGUUAUUUUGCAGCCUGUUGGCCAAGUUUCCACACCUGUAAAUCAAGUUUU